RNAcentral lists this ribosomal RNA (705 nucleotides) under uncultured Actinomycetes bacterium. RNAcentral describes it as "bacterial SSU rRNA". It matches the Rfam family "Bacterial small subunit ribosomal RNA", at positions 28 to 751 of the family's 1533-position model. The record is from RNAcentral. Lineage: Bacteria; Bacillati; Actinomycetota; Actinomycetes.
GACGAACGCUGGCGGCGUGCUUAACACAUGCAAGUCGAGCGGUAAGGCCUUUCGGGGUACACGAGCGGCGAACGGGUGAGUAACACGUGGGUGAUCUGCCCUGCACUCUGGGAUAAGCUUGGGAAACUGGGUCUAAUACCGGAUAUGACUAUGGGAUGCAUGUUUCAUGGUGGAAAGCUUUUGUGGUGCAGGAUGGGCCCGCGGCCUAUCAGCUUGUUGGUGGGGUAAUGGCCUACCAAGGCGACGACGGGUAGCCGACCUGAGAGGGUGACCGGCCACACUGGGACUGAGACACGGCCCAGACUCCUACGGGAGGCAGCAGUGGGGAAUAUUGCACAAUGGGCGGAAGCCUGAUGCAGCGACGCCGCGUGAGGGAUGAAGGCCUUCGGGUUGUAAACCUCUUUCAGCAGGGACGAAGCGUGAGUGACGGUACCUGCAGAAGAAGCACCGGCUAACUACGUGCCAGCAGCCGCGGUAAUACGUAGGGUGCGAGCGUUGUCCGGAAUUACUGGGCGUAAAGAGUUCGUAGGCGGUUUGUCGCGUCGUUUGUGAAAACCCGGGGCUCAACUUCGGGCUUGCAGGCGAUACGGGCAGACUUGAGUGUUUCAGGGGAGACUGGAAUUCCUGGUGUAGCGGUGAAAUGCGCAGAUAUCAGGAGGAACACCGGUGGCGAAGGCGGGUCUCUGGGAAACACUGACGCUGAGG